GAUGAACGCUGGCGGCGUGCCUAAUACAUGCCAGUCGAGCGAACGGACGAGAAGCUUGCUUCUCUGAUGUUAGCGGCGGACGGGUGAGUAACACGUGGAUAACCUACCUAUAAGACUGGGAUAACUUCGGGAAACCGUAGCUAAUACCGGAUAAUAUUUUGAACCGCAUGGUUCAAAAGUGAAGGACGGUCUUGCUGUCACUUAUAGAUGGAUCCGCGCUGCAUUAGCUAGUUGGUAAGGUAACGGCUUACCAAGGCAACGAUGCAUAGCCGACCUGAGAGGGUGAUCGGCCACACUGGAACUGAGACACGGUCCAGACUCCUACGGGAGGCAGCAGUAGGGAAUCUUCCGCAAUGGGCGAAAGCCUGACGGAGCAACGCCGCGUGAGUGAUGAAGGUCUUCGGAUCGUAAAACUCUGUUAUUAGGGAAGAACAUAUGUGUAAGUAACUGUGCACAUCUUGACGGUACCUAAUCAGAAAGCCACGGCUAACUACGUG
This 497-nucleotide ribosomal RNA is filed under the name uncultured bacterium. RNAcentral's name for it is "partial 16S ribosomal RNA". It matches the Rfam family "Bacterial small subunit ribosomal RNA", at positions 28 to 507 of the family's 1533-position model. The record is from RNAcentral.